Molecule: long non-coding RNA, 668 nt
Filed under: Volvox carteri
Lineage: Eukaryota; Viridiplantae; Chlorophyta; Chlorophyceae; Chlamydomonadales; Volvocaceae
Description: long non-coding RNA (VCAR_LNC003214)
Source: RNAcentral
UUUUACAUACAGGCCUCUGCACCGGCGUGAAAGCAGUUUAGAGUUACUCCCAACAGGGACGAAACCCCCGUACACUUUGCUUUAAAUGUGUUAUUACUUGUAAAUCCGCGUGGACUAUUUUUUUACUCUGUCUUGACUAAUUUCAAUCCGUGUGGACUACAUACUAGCAGCGCAUGUGCGGGACCUGUACUGGAGUUUUGAACAACGAGUGCUGCGUGCCAGGUAAAGAUGCGCAGAUCUACCUACUACCAUUUGCAGCAGAGGCGCAGAGCCACAUAUUUAGAACGCCACUACCGUUUCGAUGGUGUGGCAGCAGCGUGCCGGAGAUGGAACUUUUCCCAGGCGGCACUGUAACCGCCUUGAAACAAGAUGUAAGAUGAUCCUGUACAGUAAUUUGAGGCCGAAAAAGAACAAUCAGUACGCGAUUGAAUUUUCGCCAGAGCGUGAGCAGUCCUGACCUAACCUGACGACCCAAGGACCGAAGCACCGUGAAGCACUGAUGAGGCUGCUCCACCCCCUGCCCGAAGGAAAUGGUGUGUCGAUCUGCAGAUGUAUCUGCCCAUAUACAGUAGCUUGACGCAUGUGAGGCAAUCAUUUUAAGGGCGGUGCAAACGUGGCUUGGGCCUCCUAAUUUCCCAAUGUCAGCUGUCUUAUUAAUCCGAGCCAUG